Molecule: transfer RNA, 78 nt
Organism: Camelus ferus (Wild Bactrian camel)
Lineage: Eukaryota; Metazoa; Chordata; Mammalia; Artiodactyla; Camelidae
Rfam family: tRNA
About the family: Transfer RNA (tRNA) molecules are approximately 80 nucleotides in length. Their secondary structure includes four short double-helical elements and three loops (D, anti-codon, and T loops).
Source: Rfam
GGGGGGAUGGUACAGCUGGAGUGGUAGAGCGCAUGCUUAGCAUGCAUGAGGUCCUGGGUCCAAUCCCUAGUGCCCCCU